Molecule: ribosomal RNA, 450 nt
Filed under: uncultured bacterium
Lineage: Bacteria
Description: partial 16S ribosomal RNA
Rfam family: Bacterial small subunit ribosomal RNA
Source: RNAcentral
AGCGAACGCUGGCGGCAGGCCUAACACAUGCAAGUCGAACGCAUCCUUCGGGGUGAGUGGCAGACGGGUGAGUAACACGUGGGAACGUACCUCUUUGUACGGAAUAGCUUUUGGAAACGAAAGGUAAUACCGUAUACGCCCUUGUGGGGGAAAGAUUUAUCGCAGAGAGAUCGGCCCGAGUCUGAUUAGGUAGUUGGUAAGGUAAUGGCUCACCAAGGGGACGAUCAGUAGCUGGUCUGAGAGGAUGAUCAGCCACACCGGGACUGAGACACGGCCCAGACUCCUACGGGAGGCAGCAGUGGGGAAUAUUGGACAAUGGGGGCAACCCUGAUCCAGCCAUGCCGCGUGAGUGAUGAAGGCCUUAGGGUUGUAAAGCUCUUUUGUACGGGAAGAGAAUGACUUUACCGGAAGAAUAAGCCCCGGCUAACUUCGUGCCAGCCGCCGCCGUAA